GUGAGGGCCCUCUGGGUCCAACCUCCCACCCGUGUCUAUCGUACCUUGUUGCUUCGGCGGGCCCGCCGUUUCGACGGCCGCCGGGGAGGCCUUGCGCCCCCGGGCCCGCGCCCGCCGAAGACCCCAACAUGAACGCUGUUCUGAAAGUAUGCAGUCUGAGUUGAUUAUCGUAAUCAGUUAAAACUUUCAACAACGGAUCUCUUGGUUCCGGCAUCGAUGAAGAACGCAGCGAAAUGCGAUAAGUAAUGUGAAUUGCAGAAUUCAGUGAAUCAUCGAGUCUUUGAACGCACAUUGCGCCCCCUGGUAUUCCGGGGGGCAUGCCUGUCCGAGCGUCAUUGCUGCCCUCAAGCACGGCUUGUGUGUUGGGCCCCCGUCCCCCUCUCCCGGGGGACGGGCCCGAAAGGCAGCGGCGGCACCGCGUCCGGUCCUCGAGCGUAUGGGGCUUUGUCACCUGCUCUGUAGGCCCGGCCGGCGCCAGCCGACACCCAACUUUAUUUUUCUAAGGUUGACCUCGGAUCAGGUAGGGAUACCCGCUGAACAU
Molecule: ribosomal RNA, 541 nt
Filed under: Aspergillus fumigatus
Lineage: Eukaryota; Fungi; Ascomycota; Eurotiomycetes; Eurotiales; Aspergillaceae
Description: eukaryotic LSU rRNA
Rfam family: 5.8S ribosomal RNA (bases 182-335)
Source: RNAcentral